GCCCGCUCCGCCUGGCUGAGAACCCAGAUCCGCGCUUGUACAGGGCGGCCGGUCGCCUCCGCCUUCAGGACCUGCGGGGCGCGCGCGAGGUGGAGAUGAGAGGUCUGGACUUCUGAACGUCUAUCAGGAAAGAUGAGAUGAGCAAGCCCUUCAGAAUGCUGCGGAGGUUGGGGCUAAACUGAAGUGGGAGAGAAGAGAUGCUGGUCUGAGGGAACACGCCGAAUCAGCCCGCUGCAGACAGGCAGGUCUGCCCACGCCUUACCGAGGACCCCAGUCAUCACGCGGAAUACGCCGAAUCAGCCCACUGCACACAGGAAGAUCUGUGCACACCCUACCGAGGUCCUGAGUCUUGAGGAAGACACUGAAUCACCCCGCUGCAGACAGACAGCCACCUGGUUCCGCACUACAAAGACGCAGGGGAACCAGACCACCAGACCAAGGUACUGAGUCCCACUUCACUGUUCCCG
RNAcentral lists this long non-coding RNA (467 nucleotides) under Heterocephalus glaber (naked mole-rat). RNAcentral describes it as "lncRNA (ENSHGLG00000043533.1)". The record is from RNAcentral. Lineage: Eukaryota; Metazoa; Chordata; Mammalia; Rodentia; Bathyergidae.